Molecule: long non-coding RNA, 402 nt
Organism: Myzus persicae (green peach aphid)
Lineage: Eukaryota; Metazoa; Arthropoda; Insecta; Hemiptera; Aphididae
Exons: 3
Source: RefSeq, a predicted model, not a curated record
UAAUCACGCUGAGGAUCACACCAUACCAUGCCAUAUCACACGAUUAAUCUUAUACGCUUUUAAAAAACGUAUAUAAACAAACGCUUACCUGCCCAAUCGUCAUAACACAAUUUCGUACAAGUCAAUUGUUUGAUUUCAAUUUCUAUCCCCACAAAAACCAACCAAAAUCAAAAAUGGGCGCAGAAAAAGUAUCCAUGAGCAUCGUCGUCGUCGGACAAGUCCAGUCUGCCAAGGCCACCAAGACCGUCACCAAGGCCACACCAGCCACCAGCCAACUCAUGAACUGUUAAAUCAUGUAGUCCGUCCAUCUCAAACACAAAAAUGCCAUAACCUAAACAAAAUAUGUAUUUAUAGUAUUAUAUUUUGACAUAAUCAAAUAAAUCAGUAUAUUCCAAUAUUAAA